CUUUUCUUACUUUUUUCCCCCCUCCUGUAUUGUGUUGAUAUCUUGAAUUUACUGAAAUUGUACUACAAAGCUAAAAGAUGCUUUAUGUUGGUUCAAGAUGCGUCGACAAGGGAUGAGACUUAAACCCUCUGUUGAUCUCCAACCAACACAGGUCGCCUAAGUUGCAGCUUCUAAAAUUUUAUACUUGGUGUCUUGGAAUUUUGUCAGUCUUUUUUCUUUUAAGUUUUUGUAAAUGUGGUUUUUCUGGGGGUUGGGGGGAAUUGUUCAAGUCAACAUGAAAUUACUUUUAUCAAAUUGUAUUGCUUAUUCUAUCUGAUAAAGCUUACCAAAUUCUUAAAUGCACAGUACUUGCCAGCAGUUUUAAAUACUCAAGGGACUCCCCUUCAUUGGAAGCACUUGAACAAUUAGAGACUGGAAGGGAUUCAAUACGAUUCUAAGGAAAAACAUGAGUAUAAUAUUAAAGAUUUUCGGCCAAAAAGUAGGAAGUUGCCAAAUGACUUUGAUAUGCUUUACAUUGAGUAAUAUAGGAUCGUUCUCAUUUAAUCAUUUUAUUCAGGACGACCCAAAGUAUUUUAAAACUUUUUGUCACAUGACAAGUUUGAAAGGAGACAAACUUAACUAUGGGCAUAAGAAAAAUUGUUCUAGGGACAAUAUAGAACCAAAUAAACUUCAUGAUAAGUUUUGUCGUUGAGAUAUUACACACUUUAGACACUAUUUUUGUUUUACGAAUGGAUGGCAAAUUAUCAAAUCAGAAAUUUUUUUUGGGAAAUUUAGUUUUCUUGUCAUAAAUGAAGAUUUAAUUUUGAUAACAUAUUUCUAGUCAUGAAUGUGUUACAGUGAGCCUAUGUUUUGAUAAUAUAUUUUACUGACAUUCAUGUAGGACAUAAUGAAGUUAUUCUGUUGUGCUUACUGUAUGAAGGAGUUUUUUAUGACCAGGGACAAGAAAGGAGAAUGUAAACUUGAAAUGUGGGCGAAUGCUAGACAGACUGACAGAGUCAAUGAACUAUGACUUUAGAUAUGACAGGCUUAAUUUGAAACAGAUGAUCAGUACGUUCAGACAAAAUAAUUUGGUUUCUAGUUUCAGUAGAAGGCUUUUAAGAAGGAUGUGAAGUUUUUUUGUUAUUUUUGACAGUAAUGUUGUUUUGUUAAUACUGGGAAAAAAAAAUGAAGAAUUGCGGAAAGAGUGAAUGACAACAAUUUAUAUAGGUUUUACCUAGUGCACAAAGCUCCAACUUUUGUGGGGUGCCCUUGUUCAUGCUUAUUAGAUAGUGGAUGACAGUCCCGUCUUGUGCAUGUGAGUGUCAGUCAGUGCCCUUGUCCAUGCUUCUUAGAUAGUGACAGUGAGGAGCUCGUACUCACGCUGAUUUAUUGAAAUAUGGGUCGUGAUGAUGGUGGCUUAUCAUGGUUCAUGUACCAAAAGCUACCGGAGUUCAAGCUGAAAGAAGCGAUUUCAAGGGAUCCUACCCUACUUGUUUAGGUGGUUGGUGUUCCUAAUGUUGGCAAGUCAUCUUUAAUUAAUUUGAUCCAUCAAAUUGUGUCAUCUUGCUUUCCUGGUAAGGUGUUACUAUGUUUCUGCUGGAUCAUGGUUGGAUGUCAUUUUCUUGAAAUGGAACUGUGGUGAAGUUUAUUAAAUUAUUGAACAAUAAUGGGUUCAGUUUUCUUUCAUGGUGCACUUACCAAAAAAAAGUUUUCUUUCAUAGUGCAGGAGAAUAUGAAGCUACACUUGGCCUGUUGCCUAGUGUUACUCAAGACAUUGCUAAAUACAAGGUCAAGAGAUUCUUUGUUUCAUGGUUUAUACACCUUAUAAAGUAAGAGACUGAAAUUUUUGCUUCAUGUGUCUUUCAUAGUUAUUAGCAUUCAAUAAUUAAGACUAUAUCUGAGAAUGAGAUUGAACCCUGAUAUUAAUAUUUUUGGUAGGAAGAUCUCAUAGGUUUGGUUGUGAAUUGUUUUAUUGACCAUUAUCACUUAACAUUUAGUUCAUGUUCUUGCUUUUAUGAGCCGCAGACUGGUUUCACGGAAGUUAUGGACUUAUUUCUAACUUGUGCUAUAGUAUUUGACCACAGAUAAAGUGAAGGGGAUUACUAUGACUUAUAUUAUAUUUUUGGCUUAAUUGAUUGAUGUUCCCCCUAUUUUGCUAGCUUUCUUACUAAUUUAUAUAUCUAUUUUUUUCUUUUGAUUUUUUUUUAAGCUAGUAAGUAUUUGUAAGUUUAUAGGAAUAAGGGGAAUAAACUAUCAGGGUUAGGUCUCUGGUUUGAUUAUUGAAAGCUUGUAAUAACUAAGUCAGUUGCAGAAGCUUUAUUCAAAGAUAUGUAUUGGGUGUCAGGCUAAUCAUCAAGCAUUUGGCUGGUUCAUUUUCUUUUUUAAUCUUAAUUUUCUUCUAUAUUACUUUUGCCUUCUGUUGUUAAUUUGUGGCUAAAUACUUCUGUUUCAGCAUUUAUGAAUGUUUAAAUGUUGACAUUGAAUUAUGAAGGUACAGAUUGUGCAUCAGCCUAUCAUAUAUGUCCUAGACACUCCGGGUGUAUUGGUUCCAAGUAUCUCUGACAUAGAGACAGGGCUGAAGCUGGCUCUUGCAGAAAAAAACAAGUGAGUCUCCAAUCGCUAUUCAGAGAGGCCAUAGAGCACUCAACCUGAGCUGAUUUGGUUGCAACAAACCAACUGGAUUCAGCUUCAAUUAUGUUGGGUAAGGCCUAAAAGUUAUAUGCCUCAAGUUAUGUCAGUGAGAUAAACCCUCUUGUUGACCUCCAACCAACACAGGUUGCCCAAGCUGUAGCUUCUAAAAUAUUUUACUUGGUGUCUUUGAAUUUUAUCAGUCUAUUUUAUUUUAUUUUUGUGUAUAUGUGGAUUUUUUUUGGGUUGGGGAGAGUUAUUCAAUUCAACAUGAAAUUACUUUUGUCACAUUGUUCUGAUUACUGUAUCUGAUAAAGCUUACCAAACUCUUAAAUGCACAUGAAGGGGCCCGUAAGAGAUUCAGUGGUAGGUGAGAAGCGAAUUGCACAAAACUUGCUGGCAGUUUUAAAUACUCAAGGAGCUCCCUACAUUGGAAGCACUUGAACAAUAGGAGAUUGGAAGGGAUUCGAUAUGAUUCUAAGGAAAAACGGCACAAGCUUGUCAACUUAUGAAGCAUCUACCCUUGCUUUAAUGGAUGGAUCUAUCUAUGCCAAUAUGGAUAAUAUCAAAGGGAAUUCUCAUAGCAUAAAUUCAAUUCUAAACAUUAUAGUAGUGGAGAUUAAAGCAAUUCUUUGGUGAAAAAUCCAAGUGUUCUGACUCCUUUAGCAUAAGAAGGAUUUGAAAAAUGACACUUAUUGUUCCGAAAGCAACAACCUAUAAUUUUACACCUUUGCCUUUUCCUAUCUUUUCCCCUCUAAUUACUGGGAAAUUAUUAGGUAGUUCGGGACUACAAAGUCAACAUGUUGUCCUUGUAGUCCCAGCCAAUAGAGGGAAGACGCAUCAUGAAAAAUGAAUGACAUCAUCUUAGCUGCCACAUCAUUCUAAGACACCCACAGAUUUUAACAUCGUUAGUCCUGUCCAUUAACUUGUCAGCAAAUUUCAAAUUUUCAUUUGGGAAUUGGGCGGGUCGGUGAGAGAUUUCAGAAGGUAAAAGCUUUCAAAAUUCAUUAUUUUGAAAAUUCUCUUUUUUUCUUUUUUUUUCCUCUCUCUCUGAUGGUCCAUCUCCAUGUUCAUUAUCAUCACUAUUAGCUACUUCAUCUGUUACUGUCCAGGCCUACGGAUAUCUCAUGGCUAAAUGACAACUUUUUUAGUUUUUUUACUUGGUAAAUUCGAACUUCUUCUUUUUUUUUUCUUCUUCGUUCUUAGCUCAAUAUUAUCUGGGUCAAGUUCCUAUUGCCUUUUGUUUUUAUAUUAAAUGGGUCAAGCCUUAAUGGUGUUCCUUUAGUGGCACUUUGUUGGAAUCUUAGGUUCUGUAAUACAUGGACACGGGUUUCAGAUUUGAUUUAUAGUUUAACUUUAUCGAUUGUUAAAUAUGAGUAAUAGUUUUGUUUUUUUUUUUUCCUAUAAAAAAAAAAAUGUUUUAGUUUUUGUUGGAUUUGAUUUGAUCAGAUAACUUUUGAGGGUGGUUGGGAUCAAAAGUGCUUGAUUUAGGAAAAGCGUCAAUGUCCCAAUUUUUAUUAUUAUUAUUUUUUGGAGGCAUAGAAAGUGUUUGUUGAAAUGCCUCAUAGAGUUUUGGCUUAUCUAAACUUGUUAUGGCUUUGUAUCCAUGUUUAUGUGGUUCUACCUUUUUUUUUAGAUGUUAAAUCUGGUGUAUUGAAUAGUUUAUUUCUCAAAUUGAAAUAAUUCUAUGAAAUUUCUUUUCCUAUAUCAUGUAAAAAAAUUACAAUAUUUCACUUUUCUUUUGUCAUUUUGAUUAUGAUUUCGUUUUAUGCUAUAGAUCCUCUUAGAGACUUUAUUUAUACUCUCUAAUGCUAUGAGGAACACAAUGGAUUAAUUUGCAACAUGCCAUAAUGCCACCUUGGUUAUAGAACGUUGUGAAGUGCCAACUUUUCUUUGUUUUGUGAUUUUGAUAGCGGCCUAUGGAUAAUUUUUAUAGUUAAACUUGAUGUUGGUUGCUUCAACAUGGAUGUAGAGUCUGCAGACAUGCAGCUACUGCAAUGUACCUCUCAAUCUACUUUAGCAAUGGCAAUCCAUUCCUGACCAAUUUAAGCGAAGUUGUUGGACAAAAUGGCUGGCUUCAGUUAUGAUUCAAACAAGCAUCACCAUUCAACAAGGGGACUCUAGGCUAGCUAAAUAGUAUGAAUAUCUUGCAGUAGCAACAUAAGAAGCAAAUUUCAAGCAACGUGGAUAAGCAUGAGUGUUCCUUUAUCCAAGGGAGCUGUUAGUAGUCUAUUAGAAUUAGACUUUAGCCAAUAGGUAGAUUUUUCAGAUUGAGUUAUUAGUUUAUUAUUUGUUCUUGGAUAUUAUCAAGUUGAUGUUGUAUCAAUUAGUACUCCUCUAUCUCUAUGUCAAGUUGAUGUUUACAGGAUGUAUGAAUUAUUCAUCUCAAAUAGAAUGUAUUUGAUAUUAUGUUAGAUUGCUCAAAGCAAAUUCAUGAUUUAUGAA
Long non-coding RNA from Quercus lobata, 5052 nucleotides. RefSeq lists it as uncharacterized. The transcript is spliced from 2 exons. The record is from RefSeq and is a predicted model, not a curated record. NCBI's taxonomy places the organism in Eukaryota, Viridiplantae, Streptophyta, Magnoliopsida, Fagales, Fagaceae.